UACGUAGGGUGCGAGCGUUAAUCGGAAUUACUGGGCGUAAAGUGUGCGCAGGCGGCCGCGCAAGUCGAGUGUGAAAGCCCCGGGCUUAACUUGGGAAUUGCGCUCGAAACUACGUGGCUGGAGUGUGGCAGAGGAAGGUGGAAUUCCAGGUGUAGCGGUGAAAUGCGUAGAUAUUGGGAAGAACACCAGUGGCGAAGGCGGCUAUCUGGACCGGUACUGACGCUGAGGCGCGAAAGCGUGGGGAGCAAACAGG
This 253-nucleotide ribosomal RNA is filed under the name uncultured bacterium. RNAcentral describes it as "partial 16S ribosomal RNA". It matches the Rfam family "Bacterial small subunit ribosomal RNA", at positions 524 to 776 of the family's 1533-position model. The record is from RNAcentral.